RNAcentral lists this ribosomal RNA (164 nucleotides) under uncultured bacterium. RNAcentral's name for it is "partial 16S rRNA". It matches the Rfam family "Bacterial small subunit ribosomal RNA", at positions 355 to 511 of the family's 1533-position model. The record is from RNAcentral.
UAGGGAAUCUUCCACAAUGGGCGAAAGCCUGAUGGAGCAACGCCGCGUGUGUGAUGAAGGGUUUCGGCUCGUAAAACACUGUUGUAAGAGAAGAAUGACAUUGAGAGUAACUGUUCAAUGUGUGACGGUAUCUUACCAGAAAGGGACGGCUAACUACGUGUCAG